GUGCUUGGUUCCGCAGCACAUAUACUAAAAAUUGGAACAAUACAAAGAAAAUUAGCAUGGCUCCCUGUGCAAGGAUGACACGCAAAUUCGUGAAGCGGUCCAUAUUUUU
Balaenoptera musculus (blue whale) is the source of this 109-nucleotide small nuclear RNA. The record is from Ensembl. Lineage: Eukaryota; Metazoa; Chordata; Mammalia; Artiodactyla; Balaenopteridae.